GGGGGCGAAUGGGGCCUGGUGGCCCUCCUGGUCUUCAAAACCAGUGUGGGGCGCGACGAGCGUCCCGGGUGGGUUCGAUUCCUACGCGCCCCCGCCA
RNAcentral lists this transfer RNA (97 nucleotides) under Armatimonadota bacterium. RNAcentral's name for it is "Armatimonadetes bacterium (hot springs metagenome) tRNA-Sec". It matches the Rfam family "Selenocysteine transfer RNA". Lineage: Bacteria; Bacillati; Armatimonadota. The record is from RNAcentral.